CCUACGGGUGGCAGCAGUGGGGAAUAUUGCACAAUGGGGGAAACCCUGAUGCAGCGACGCCGCGUGAGCGAUGAAGUAUUUCGGUAUGUAAAGCUCUAUCAGCAGGGAAGAAGAUGACGGUACCUGACUAAGAAGCCCCGGCUAACUACGUGCCAGCAGCCGCGGUAAUACGUAGGGGGCAAGCGUUAUCCGGAUUUACUGGGUGUAAAGGGAGCGUAGACGGCGAUGCAAGCCAGAUGUGAAAGCCCGGGGCUCAACCCCGGGACUGCAUUUGGAACUGUGUGGCUGGAGUGUCGGAGAGGCAGGCGGAAUUCCUAGUGUAGCGGUGAAAUGCUUAGAUAUCGCGCAGAACCCCGAUUGCGAAGGCAGCGUACCGGCUCCACACUGACGCUGAGGCACGAAAGCGUGGGUAUCGAACAGGAUUAGAUACCCUGGUAGUC
Molecule: ribosomal RNA, 440 nt
Filed under: uncultured bacterium
Lineage: Bacteria
Description: partial 16S ribosomal RNA
Rfam family: Bacterial small subunit ribosomal RNA
Source: RNAcentral